Molecule: long non-coding RNA, 351 nt
Filed under: Ananas comosus (pineapple)
Lineage: Eukaryota; Viridiplantae; Streptophyta; Magnoliopsida; Poales; Bromeliaceae
Description: long non-coding RNA (ACOM_LNC040328)
Source: RNAcentral
UUGGACGCGAAAAGAAAUCGAAGCAGAUCGAAAAACAGCAUUCUUGCGCUGUUGUACCGGUACAAGGUUGAUGCUGUACCGGUACAACCAUCGCGGAACAGUGCCUGAUGGCUGUACCGGUACAAGGGCCUUGUACCGGUACAAAACCCGCGCGACCGAGCAACCCGAGCCUCGGGUUUGCUCUCUGUUUCGCUGUUACGCAGGGCUUGUACCGGUACAAGACCCCGUGUACCGGUACAAGGGCGCGGCAGCAGCGGGUUAAGUUGCAAAAUCUGAUAAAAGGAGGGCUUUUUAGCAUAUUGUUACAAUAGAGGACUUAUUCCUCUCACACUCAGCUCUCUCCUCUCUCAC